AAGGCUAAAUACUCCUGACUGACCGAUAGUGAACCAGUACCGUGAGGGAAAGGCGAAAAGAACCCCGGCGAGGGGAGUGAAAAAGAACCUGAAACCGUGUACGUACAAGCAGUGGGAGCCCCACCACCAAAGCAUUCUCUGGUGUUGAAGGCCCUGCAAAGCAGCAUCGCGGUGGCGGAGCGUCGUUUGCGACGCCCAACACACAAAACAAGCGGUGAGUGCUUUGGGGUGGGGUGACUGCGUACCUUUUGUAUAAUGGGUCAGCGACUUAUAUUCUGUAGCAAGGUUAACCGAAUAGGGGAGCCGCAGGGAAACCGAGUCUUAAUUGGGCGUUAAGUUGCAGGGUAUAGACCCGAAACCCGGUGAUCUAGCCAUGGGCAGGUUGAAGGUUGGGUAACACUAACUGGAGGACCGAACCGACUAAUGUUGAAAAA
This 434-nucleotide ribosomal RNA is filed under the name Salmonella enterica subsp. enterica serovar Corvallis. RNAcentral's name for it is "partial 23S ribosomal RNA". It matches the Rfam family "Bacterial large subunit ribosomal RNA", at positions 462 to 796 of the family's 2925-position model. The record is from RNAcentral. Lineage: Bacteria; Pseudomonadati; Pseudomonadota; Gammaproteobacteria; Enterobacterales; Enterobacteriaceae.